AGGUAAGCUACUAAGAGCGAAUGGUGGAUGCCUUGACUGGUAAAGGCGAUGAAGGACGUACUAGACUGCGAUAAGCUACGGGGAGCUGUCAAGAAGCUUUGAUCCGUAGAUUUCCGAAUGGGGCAACCCAAUGUAUAGAGAUAUGCAUUACCUAUAUAGGAGCGAACGAGGGGAAUUGAAACAUCUUAGUACCCUCAGGAAAAGAAAUCAAUAGAGAUUGCGUCAGUAGCGGCGAGCGAAAGCGCAAGAGGGCAAACCCAGUGCUUGCACUGGGGGUUGUAGGACUGCAAUGUGCAAGAGGUAAGUUUAGCAGAACAUUCUGGAAAGUAUAACCAUAGAGGGUGAUAGUCCCGUAUGCGAAAAACAAACCUUAGCUAGCAGUAUCCUGAGUAGGGCGGGACACGAGGAAUCCUGUCUGAAUCCGGGUCGACCACGAUCCAACCCUAAAUACUAAUACCAGAUCGAUAGUGCACAAGUACCGUGAGGGAAAGGUGAAAAGAACUGAGGUGAUCAGAGUGAAAUAGAACCUGAAACCAUUUGCUUACAAUCAUUCAGAGCCCUAUGUAGGAAUACAGGGUGAUGGACUGCCUUUUGCAUAAUGAGCCUGCGAGUUGUGGUGUCUGGCAAGGUUAAGCAAACGCGAAGCCGUAGCGAAAGCGAGUCUGAAUAGGGCGCUUAGUCAGAUGCUGCAGACCCGAAACGAAGUGAUCUAUCCAUGAGCAAGUUGAAGCUAGUGUAAGAACUAGUGGAGGACUGAACCCAUAGGCGUUGAAAAGCCCCGGGAUGACUUGUGGAUAGGGGUGAAAGGCCAAUCAAACUUCGUGAUAGCUGGUUCUCUCCGAAAUAUAUUUAGGUAUAGCGUUGUGUCGUAAUAUAAGGGGGUAGAGCACUGAAUGGGCUAGGGCAUACACCAAUGUACCAAACCCUAUCAAACUCCGAAUACCUUAUAUGUAAUCACAGCAGUCAGGCGGCGAGUGAUAAAAUCCGUCGUCAAGAGGGAAACAACCCAGACUACCAGCUAAGGUCCCUAAAUCUUACUUAAGUGGAAAACGAUGUGAAGUUACUUAAACAACCAGGAGGUUGGCUUAGAAGCAGCCAUCCUUUAAAGAAAGCGUAAUAGCUCACUGGUCUAGUGAUUUUGCGCGGAAAAUAUAACGGGGCUAAAGUAAGUACCGAAGCUGUAGACUUAGUUUACUAAGUGGUAGGAGAGCGUUCUAUUUGCGUCGAAGGUAUACCGGUAAGGAGUGCUGGAGCGAAUAGAAGUGAGCAUGCAGGCAUGAGUAGCGAUAAUUAAUGUGAGAAUCAUUAACGCCGUAAACCCAAGGUUUCCUACGCGAUGCUCGUCAUCGUAGGGUUAGUCGGGUCCUAAGUCGAGUCCGAAAGGGGUAGACGAUGGCAAAUUGGUUAAUAUUCCAAUACCAACAUUAGUGUGCGAUGGAAGGACGCUUAGGGCUAAGGGGGCUAGCGGAUGGAAGUGCUAGUCUAAGGUCGUAGGAGGUUGUACAGGCAAAUCCGUAUAACAAUACUCCGAGAACUGAAAGGCUUUUUGAAGUCUUCGGAUGGAUAGAAGAACCCCUGAUGCCGUCGAGCCAAGAAAAGUUUCUAAGUUUAGCUAAUGUUGCCCGUACCGUAAACCGACACAGGUGGGUGGGAUGAGUAUUCUAAGGCGCGUGGAAGAACUCUCUUUAAGGAACUCUGCAAAAUAGCACCGUAUCUUC
Molecule: ribosomal RNA, 1718 nt
Filed under: Campylobacter jejuni
Lineage: Bacteria; Pseudomonadati; Campylobacterota; Epsilonproteobacteria; Campylobacterales; Campylobacteraceae
Description: partial 23S ribosomal RNA
Rfam family: Bacterial large subunit ribosomal RNA
Source: RNAcentral